Molecule: ribosomal RNA, 104 nt
Filed under: Acanthosepion pharaonis
Lineage: Eukaryota; Metazoa; Mollusca; Cephalopoda; Sepiida; Sepiidae
Source: RNAcentral
CAUAUAUUGAAACACAGGUUCCCAUACAAUCACCAAAGUUAAGCAACAUCAAGCCUACUUAGUUCCUAGAUGGGUGACUGCUUGGAAAUACCAGGUGCUGUAAG